GUCUGAGGCUGCGCCGCCCUGAAGGCGCCCGAUCUCGUCCGAUCUGGGAAGCUAAGCAGGGUCGGGCCCAGUCGGUCGGGACCUGGAUGGGAGAAAUAUUACUCCAAAAAUCAUUGCCCCCCAGACA
Molecule: ribosomal RNA, 127 nt
Filed under: Prolemur simus (greater bamboo lemur)
Lineage: Eukaryota; Metazoa; Chordata; Mammalia; Primates; Lemuridae
Source: RNAcentral